CUGGUUGAUCCUGCCAGUAGUCAUAUGCUUGUCUCAAAGAUUAAGCCAUGCAUGUCUAAGUAUAAGCAAUCUAUACGGUGAAACUGCGAAUGGCUCAUUAAAUCAGUUAUCGUUUAUUUGAUAGUACCUUACUACUUGGAUAACCGUGGUAAUUCUAGAGCUAAUACAUGCUAAAAACCCCGACUUCGGAAGGGGUGUAUUUAUUAGAAUAAAAACCAAUCGGGUUUCGGCCCGUAAUUUGGUGAAUCUGAAUAACUUUGCCAAUCGCACAGUCCUAGUACUGGCGAUGUAUCUUUCAAGUGUCUGCCUUAUCAACUUUCGAUGGUAGGUUAUACGCCUACCAUGGUAGUAACGGGUAACGGAGAAUAAGGGUUCGACUCCGGAGAGGGAGCCUGAGAAACGGCUACCACAUCCAAGGAAGGCAGCAGGCGCGCAAAUUACCCACUUCCAGAACGGAGAGGUAGUGACGAAAAAUAACGAGACAGUCCUCUUCGAGGUCUGUCAUCGGAAUGGGUACAAUUUAAAUCCUUUAACGAGGAUCUAUUGGAGGGCAAGUCUGGU
This 561-nucleotide ribosomal RNA is filed under the name uncultured eukaryote. RNAcentral's name for it is "bacterial SSU rRNA". It matches the Rfam family "Eukaryotic small subunit ribosomal RNA", at positions 4 to 565 of the family's 1831-position model. The record is from RNAcentral.